AACUUUUAGCAAUGGAUCUCUUUGCUCUCGCAUCGAUGAAGAACGCAGCGAAAUGCGAUAAGUAAUGUGAAUUGCAGAAUUCAGUUAAUCAUCGAAUCUUUGAACGCACCUUGCGCUCCUUGGUAUUCCGAGGAGCAUGCCUGUUUGAGUGUCAUUAAUAUAUAUAUCAACCUUCUCUUGUUGAGUGGUUUGGAUAUGGGGGUUUGCUGGCCUUGUAAAAGGGUUCAGCUCCCCUGAAAUGCAUUAGCAGAACAACCUGUUCAUUGGUGUGAUAACUAUCUACGCUAUUGAAUUUAAGGGGCAGUUCAGCUUUCUAGCAGUCCUCGGACAAUUUAUCAUUUAUGUGACCUCAAAUCAGGUAGGACUACCCGCUGAACUUAAGCAUAUCAAUAAGCGGAGGCU
Molecule: unclassified non-coding RNA, 402 nt
Filed under: uncultured Cortinarius
Lineage: Eukaryota; Fungi; Basidiomycota; Agaricomycetes; Agaricales; Cortinariaceae
Description: sequence contains ITS2
Rfam family: 5.8S ribosomal RNA (bases 1-154)
Source: RNAcentral